ACCAGACUCCUACGGGAGGCAGCAGUGGGGAAUAUUGCACAAUGGGGGAAACCCUGAUGCAGCGACGCCGCGUGAGUGAAGAAGUAUUUCGGUAUGUAAAGCUCUAUCAGCAGGGAAGAAAUACUGACCUUACGGUCAGCAGACGGUACCUGACUAAGAAGCCCCGGCUAACUACGUGCCAGCAGCCGCGGUAAUACGUAGGGGGCAAGCGUUAUCCGGAUUUACUGGGUGUAAAGGGAGCGUAGACGGCAGCGCAAGUCUGGAGUGAAAUGCCGGGGCUUAACCCCGGAACUGCUUUGGAAACUGUGCAGCUAGAGUGCAGGAGAGGUAAGUGGAAUUCCUAGUGUAGCGGUGAAAUGCGUAGAUAUUAGGAGGAACACCAGUGGCGAAGGCGGCUUACUGGACUGUAACUGACGUUGAGGCUCGAAAGCGUGGGGAGCAAACAGGAUUAGAUACCCCAGUA
RNAcentral lists this ribosomal RNA (463 nucleotides) under uncultured bacterium. RNAcentral describes it as "bacterial SSU rRNA". It matches the Rfam family "Bacterial small subunit ribosomal RNA", at positions 330 to 792 of the family's 1533-position model. The record is from RNAcentral.